GCCUUUGUAGCUCAGUUGGUAGAGCGCGGCGUGAGUUGCACACCACAAUCCGGGAGACAAAUCGCAAUCUAACAUUCGAGAUAGACUAGUACACAAUACAGUGAUGCCGAGGUCUUGAGUUCGACUCUCAACGGAGGCA
Cladophialophora carrionii CBS 160.54 is the source of this 139-nucleotide non-coding RNA. The record is from the annotation of a RefSeq genome assembly. NCBI's taxonomy places the organism in Eukaryota, Fungi, Ascomycota, Eurotiomycetes, Chaetothyriales, Herpotrichiellaceae.